RNAcentral lists this long non-coding RNA (7235 nucleotides) under Lactuca sativa (garden lettuce). RNAcentral's name for it is "long non-coding RNA (LSAT_LNC007757)". The record is from RNAcentral. Lineage: Eukaryota; Viridiplantae; Streptophyta; Magnoliopsida; Asterales; Asteraceae.
GUAUAAAUAGACCCCAUGGCUGAUGGAAUUCGACACUUGACCUAAAGUAAGGAACCUCUGGUCGAAAUUCCUUCCCUCUCCUCUCUCCCAAAUCAUCCUCCUUGCUUUGGUGUUUGUAAGCCAUUAGAGGAGUGACAUUUGUGACUCUAGAAGCUCCAAGACCUCAAGAUCAACAAGGAACUCAAAGGUAUGAUUCUAGAUCUGUUUCAAUGUUGUUAUUUAACCUAAUUAGUAAUUAGAAGUCUUGGAUUCAAAGCAUGUUUAUUAGAAAGCCUAGAUCCAAGCAUUAGGGUUUUGCAUGCGCACAUAGGAAAGUUCUUAUGGCUAAAACCCAUCAGUGGUAUCAGAGCCUAGCUUGGUUUUCUUUAAAUUGUUGCUUGAUUAACUGAAACAAACCUGCAAAAUUCGAUUUUUUGGUUUCUGAGUCAUGGACUCGGCGAGUCUCAAAGUGGACUCGGCGAGUAGGCCUGACUCGGCGAGUCCAUUUGUGCACUCGGCGAGUCCAGGCGUCAGGAAUGGCCAGAUUCGGGAUUUCUUUGUGUUUAUCUUAUCUUAACUUACCAUAAACUAAUUAGAUCAACAUUAAUUCGUUUUUCUGAUAAAUAUAACUAUUAUCUUGAUCUAGUUAAAGGUAAUUAUCAACUAAUUAAAUAUUUAAUUUCCUUAUAUGAUAAUUAAUUAAUUAUUUUGAUUAUUUUGGUAAUUAUCUUAAAAAGAAAUCUUGAAUAAAUCAAAUAUAGAUAAUUAGGAUAUUAAUUGUUAAUUGGAAUUAUUUGUUAUUUGAUCCUCCAUGUUUUAAAUGUUUAAAACCUACCCUCAUGUUUUGAAAUUUACUUUUGUGAUUAAAAGUUUUAAUUUAGACAACUUAAAUUUCAAACCCUAGAUUUUAAAAGUUUUAAAAUACAACCCUAUACUAAUAUGAUAUUACUAGAAUAAUAUAUAUAUGUAUAACUAAAUGCUAGUCUUACCGUUAGUAGGCCUCAUUCACGAAGCCGAUCUAUAAGGUGGGUAUAAGGUUGCGGCCUAUAAAAUGGCGCUUAAUGGGUGUACACUCACACCCACCGCUUGCUUGAUUGGUGGAGGGUCGUUAGCCGAACGGGUAGGAUAGGGCAACCUCAUCCUCUCAUUAAAAGUAUAAUAAGAAAUACAAAGUAACUACACAUAUUUUAAAAUUUCCCAAUCCUAGUUACUUUAGGAAAAGUGAAUUGAUGCAAUCCCAUGAAAUUACACUUUGCACCUUGCUAAGAUGUUAGUGGAGCGUGUGUGGUUUACCGGCACACUAAUUGGUUCUAAGCGAAGGUGGCAAAGGGUGAUUCAUUGUUUAUCAUAGUUCGAUGGAGCGUGUGUGGUUUACCGGCACAUCGAAUAGGUGAUCGUUACAAUGAAGGCACCAUGUGAAUUUGCAUGGUAAUUCACACCCGCUUUGUGAUCCUCGGCAUCCCAGUCACAAACAAGAGGGGCAUAUCGAGAUUUAAACAUGCCAUUGAAUAGUUUCAAUGAAUCUCAUCCGAACCUAGGAAUUCUCAAAAACACUUAGGACUAAUAGUUUAAGUUUUGUGAUGGAGAAUUAGUGAAUCGUCAUUCACUUACCUUCAAUUUAUUUGCAUGUUAGAUUACGGCAUCCCUUUUCUAGUAUGUAAAUGUUAUUGUUGGAUCCUAGCCCUAAUUUUCUUAUUGGGUGAUAAUUAGGGAUUCUUAUUCUAAUCUAUCUUUGUCCUUUUCUAAUUGUAGAUGUCGAACGCAAACAACGCUGCUGCUAGUUCUUUCACGUUGAUGAGCCUUUGCCAAAAGGUCACCUUCGAUGGAACGAACUUUAGCGAAUGGAUAAGAUACAUUCGCACCAUUGCUCGCUAUGAGGAUAAGGAGUAUGUCCUCGAUGAGAAGCUCGAGAAAAUCAACCCCGAAAUCGCUACUCCGGCCGAAAUCACCGCUUUUGAGACUCAUGAGCGAGAUGCAACGAAGGUACAUUGCAUCAUGAUUGCCACCAUGAACUCCGAAUUCCAAAAGUCCUACGAGGACAUGUACCCGUACGAGAUGCACCAAGACUUAUUGGAGAGGUACCACCAAAACGCGAGACAAGAGAGGUACGAGAUUUUCACUAACAUGAUUUCCGCGAAGAUGGGUCAUGGAGAAUCUCUUACCGUGCACUUGCAAAAGAUGCAAAGGUAUGUCGACCGCCUUCGCAAGUUAAAUGUUGACUUCGGUGAGGAUUUGGCGAUCGACAUGGUGCUUCACUCUUUGCCUCCGAUGUACAAUCAAUUUAGGAUGACCUACCACAUGAACAAAGAAGAGGUCACCCUAAGCAAGCUCCAAGGUCUCUUGAGGGUUGCUGAGAGCAACUUCAAAGACAAGUCUGUUGCACCUACUCCCAAUCCGCCCGCUGCUCCUGUCUUGGCUAUUGGACAAGGGAAGGGAAAGAAGAGGAAAGCUUCAUCGAAGAACUAUCGCAAGGUGAAAGCCCGAGAUGGUGCCUCUUCUAGUGGGACCAAAGUUGAUCCCGCUAAGCCCUGCUCUAACCCGAAGGAGGCAGAGUGCCACCACUGCCACAAGAUAGGACAUUGGAAGAGAAGCUGCCCGGAUUACCUGCAAGCAAUCAAAGAAGGAAAGAUCAAGCCAUCUUUCGCAGGUAUAUAUACAAUCAAAUCUAACGAUUCUAAUCAUGCUAUUUCUUGGGUUCUUGAUACCGGUUGUGGUUAUCACAUUUGUUCUAAUGUGCAGGGACUAAGAAGAAGUAGGGAUGUGGAGCAAGGAAGGAUCAAUCUAAUCAUGGGGAACAGAAGAUCGUCGCCUGUGACCAAGAUUGGAGUGUAUUCCUUAGUGCUUAGGAAUAGUUUAGUUUUAGAUUUGAACAAUUGUUGCUAUUCGCCAGAAAUGGCAAGAAACAUCAUUUCAUUUCAUGGUUUAUAUAGACAAGGAUUUAGAUUUUCUUUUAAUAAUGAGAAUGGUUCUAUUUUGGCUUAUCUAAAUGGUGUCUUUUACUUUGAAGCUAUACCAUGUAAUGGAAUAUAUGAAACCGUUAUGAUUGUUGAUAACUUAGGAAAUGAUGUUUUGAAUAUUGAUUCUUCCACUAGUAUGGAUAAAGCAUCCUUGUGGCAUUGUCGUCUUGGACAUGUCAACAAGAAACGCAUAGCCCAACUCCAAAAGGAUGGAGUGUUGGAGUCAUUCGACCUUAGGGAAGAUGACACAUGCGAGUCUUGUUUGCUUGGAAAGAUGACUAAGUCACCCUUCACGAGUACAUGUGAAAGGGGCGAGGGUCUAUUGGACCUAAUACAUACCGAUGUAUGUGGACCGUUUAGAUCAACCACGAAGGAUGGGAACCGCUUCUAUGUGACUUUUACCGAUGACUAUAGUAGAUAUGGGUAUAUCUACUUAAUCAAGCAAAAGUCAGACACCUUUGAAAAGUUCAAAGAGUUCAAGAAUGAAGUGGAGAAUCAAUUGGGCAGGAAAAUCAAGAUGCUUCGAUCCGAUCGAGGAGGAGAGUACCUAAGUCUUGAAUUCCACGAUUAUCUCAAGGAGUGUGGAAUAGUUUCACAAUUGACGCCUCCUAGGACACCGCAGUUGAAUGGUGUGGCAGAAAGGCGUAAUCGAACCUUAUUGGAUAUGGUUCGCUCUAUGAUGAGUCGUGCUUCACUACCAAUCUCUUUUUGGGGGUAUGCCUUAGAGACUGCCGCCCAUAUCCUUAACCGAGUCCCUACUAAGAAGGUUGCCAAAACACCUCACGAGAUGUGGACAGGGAAAGCUCCCUCGUUGGCACAUAUCAAGGUUUGGGGUUGCGAGGCUUUCGUAAGACGAGAUACUCACGACAAGCUUGAACCUCGAAGUGAGCGAUGUAUUUUCAUCGGCUACCCGCAGACAUCCUUUGGAUAUCUCUUCUAUAGACCGAAGGACAAUGUUGUCUUCGUUGCGAGGAGAGGAGUUUUCCGAGAGCGAGAACUCAUAAGCCAAGGAGACAGUGGGAGGCAAAUCGAACUUGAAGAGAUUCAAGAGUCGAUAGAUGAAGGAACCUCUACCGCUGGCACUCAACCCGAGGAGGAAACUCCGGUUGAACCGAUUGACGAAUCCUUACCUCUUAGACGUUCCGAUAGAGUUAGAGUUCAUCCCCAGUUUUAUGGCUUUCAUAUUACUACCGAAGGGGACACGUAUAUUAGUGAUGGUACACUAGUAAAUCUUGAUGAACCUAAUAGCUAUAAGGAAGCCAUGGCAGGCCCGGAGUCUGCAAAAUGGAAAGAGGCAAUGGAUAGCGAGAUCCAAUCCAUGUAUGAUAACCAAGUUUGGAAUUUGGUUGAUUAUGUGCCCGGACGUAAGACCGUUGGGUGCAAAUGGAUCUUCAAGAAGAAGACCGACGUGGAUGGAAACGUACACACAUAUAAAGCGCGAUUGGUUGCGAAGGGCUUUACUCAAACUCCCGGAGUUGACUAUGAUGAGACCUUCUCACCAGUUGCGAAGAUUAAAUCUAUUAGAGUGAUGCUAGCUAUUGCCGCAUUUCAUGAUUAUGAGAUUUGGCAAAUGGAUGUCAAGACCGCUUUCCUUAACGGAAAGUUGGCUGAGGAUGUUUACAUGGCUCAGCCAGAGGGGUUUGUGGAUCCGAAGCAUCCGGAUAGAGUGUGUAAGCUUGAGAAGUCCAUUUAUGGACUUAAGCAAGCGUCUCGCAGAUGGAAUCUUUGCUUCGAUGAGAAAGUCAAAGAGUUUGGAUUUGUACGAAGCGAAGACGAAUCUUGUGUAUAUGUCAAAGCCAGUGGGAGUAUAGUAAGCUUCCUCGUUCUAUAUGUCGAUGACAUAUUACUCAUAGGAAACGACAUCCCGACUCUGCAGGAGGUUAAGUCCUGGCUCGGGAAGUGCUUCGCUAUGAAGGACCUCGGAGAGGCUUCUUACAUUUUGGGAAUAAGGAUAGUAAGAGAAAGAAGUAAGAGACUAAUUGGACUUAGUCAGAAUACUUACUUAGAGAAGGUACUAAAACGUUUUAGUAUGGAAAACUCAAAGAAGGGAGAACUACCGAUACAAAGUAAUGCCAAAUUGAGUAAGACUCAAAGUCCGAGUACCGAAGCUGAGAUAGCAGAAAUGAGCCGAGUACCAUACGCUUCCGCAGUUGGCUCAAUCAUGUACGCUAUGACUUGUACUCGCCCUGAUGUAGCCUUCGCUUUGAGCAUGGUUAGCAGAUAUCAAGGGAAUCCUGGCAAAGCACAUUGGAUUGCGGUGAAGAAUAUCCUUAAGUACCUUCGGAGGACGAAGGAAUGGUUCUUAGUCCUCGGAGGGAGUGAUGACUUGAAGGUGCGAGGGUAUAGUGACGCCAGUUUUCAGACCGACAGGGACAACUACCGUUCGCAGUCGGGCUGGGUCUUUACCCUAAAUGGAGGAGCAGUGACAUGGAAGAGUUCCAAGCAGGAAACCGUAGCUGAUUCAACGUGCGAAUCAGAGUACAUUGCAGCGAGCGAAGCGUCGAAGGAGGCAAUAUGGCUAAAGAACUUCAUCGGUGAUCUUGGAGUUGUACCUGCCAUAAAGGAGCCAAUGGAGAUUUUCUGUGAUAACGAAGGCGCGGUUGCCUUAACCAAGGAACCGAGGGAUCAUGGUAGAUCAAGACAUAUCGACAGAAAGUAUCACUUCAUUAGACAUCGUGUAGAAGAAGGACAACUCGUAGUGAAGAGGAUAUCAUCAGAAGAUAACCCAGCAGAUCCGCUUACGAAGGGACUGAGUAGGGUUAAGCACUUGCAGCAUGCUAGGAGUAUUGGGCUGAAGGAUGAUAUUAGCAUAGAUUAGAUAGUAUUAGAAACGUGUAAUAGAUAAAUGUAAUUAACAUUUGAUGAUUAAAUAAAGGAGUUUUAUUUAUGAGUAAUGUUACUAUCUUAUGUUAAUUGUUUAGCUAUUGUUUCACUUUGCAUGUUUUGACUUCCAGAAUAAUUGAGUUUAUUAGGAAUAAUCGAAUUGUUCAAAUGGUCCACAAUCGUUCAUAUGUUGGGAGUAGAUAUGAAUGAAGAUUGUCAUGAAUUGGUGUGUAGAAUGUCUAAAUGGUGUUAGACAUAGCAAAGGAUUGCUGCAACGUUCAUGAGUGCUUAUGAACUAGUUUUGAGCAUUGGAAUAAACCCGCGCUUGCUGGAAUCACCUUAUGGAAUACGAUAUAAAAGGUGAUCGCAAGACGAUAAUAUCAUAUAGUCUUAAAACCUAGAUAUAUGGUUUAUUAUUUGUUAAUUGAUUGUACAUUGAUAAUACGAAAACGCAUCAGUAACUUGGUGUUAUAAAACGUAUUGUUGUGUAUAGUUGGUAAAUGAAUAAGUAAAUGCAUAUAAGUCGAAGUUUAUCUGUAACUUUUAUCUAAGAAGGUAAAAGCGAUAUCUCGGCCGCUCGAUGAUUUGAUUUGACUUAUGUGCCGGGCCCGGUCAGAACUGAAUUGAUGUGUUCGAUUAAGUUCUAUGUCAAAUAAAUCAGAGAUCGAGAAACCUAAAUGCUUGACUAACCAUUCCAUAGGAUUGUCAGCAUGAUAUCUAACAGAGGACUGUACGUUCCCUUAUCUAAAGGACAAGAUUGAUUAGAUCAGAGUUGACAGCGUCUUUGAGAGCUACGAUUGCAAACCGAAUUGUACUUGUAUAGUUACUAGACUUAUCCAAGUGGGAGACUGUUGGAAUAGUGUCUAAGGCUGUAACUAUAUUAGGCAAGUAUUUGAUCCGGUUGUGCAUGGUCCUUUUGGGUUGCCUUCACCAUAGCAACUUGAUAGGAUGAUUUAUUAAGAGAGAGUAAAUAUUAUUAAUAUAUUAUGAGAAUAAUAUAAUGAAUAAUAUAUUUGUUAUUUGAUUAAUAUAAGUCAUAGAAUUAAUUAGAAUUAAUUUGGUGACUUAAAGAGAUUAAUUAAAUAAAGGGGUAUAAACUGUCAAUUGUUUGAUAGUUAAGCUUUAGACUGUAAAUCCAUUUGGAUAUACUAUGGACGGAUUCUAAGAGGUUUAGGAUAGCUAAAAUCGUCCAUAUGCUUAUCUAGGAAUGGAUUUGGAUAGCCUUAAGAGAAGAUUAUCUGAUAGGGACUUAUCUGUAAUCCUUAAGGAGUCUAUAAGUAUAAAUAGACCCCAUAACAUAAGGAAUUCGUGACUUGACCUAAAGUAAGGAACCUCUGGUCGAAAUUCCUUCCCUCUCCUCUCUCCCAAAUCAUCCUCCUUGCUUUGGUGUUUGUAAGCCAUUAGAGGAGUGACAUUUGUGACUCUAGAAGCUCCAAGACCUCAAGAUCAACAAGGAACUCAAAGGUAUGAUUCUAG